UCCUGGUUAACCCAGGCAGUCUCAUUAGAGUUCCCACCCGAAGUGUUGGCAACUAAUGAUAAGGGUUGCGCUCGUUACCGGACUUAACCGAACACCUCACGGCACGAGCUGACGACAGCCAUGCAGCACCUGUGUAGCGGUCCUUACGGAAAGCUGCAUUUCUGCAGCGGUCCCCUACAUGUCAAGACUAGGUAAGGUUCUUCGCGUAGCAUCGAAUUAAACCACAUGCUCCACUGCUUGUGCGGGCCCCCGUCAAUUCUUUUGAGUUUCACCCUUGCGAGCGUACUCCUCAGGCGGUAUACUUAUCGCGUUAGCUUCGACACAACUGGGGUUGAGACCAGCUACAUCAAGUAUACAUCGUUUACGGUAAGGACUAC
Molecule: unclassified non-coding RNA, 377 nt
Filed under: uncultured Chlamydiaceae bacterium
Lineage: Bacteria; Pseudomonadati; Chlamydiota; Chlamydiia; Chlamydiales; Chlamydiaceae
Description: contains 16S-23S intergenic spacer region
Source: RNAcentral